This 520-nucleotide ribosomal RNA is filed under the name uncultured marine bacterium. RNAcentral's name for it is "bacterial SSU rRNA". It matches the Rfam family "Bacterial small subunit ribosomal RNA", at positions 912 to 1430 of the family's 1533-position model. The record is from RNAcentral.
GACGGGGGCCCGCACAAGCGGUGGAGUAUGUGGUUUAAUUCGAUGCAACGCGAAGAACCUUACCAGGGUUUGACAUCCUGAGAACCUCUUAGAAAUUUGAGGGUGCCUUCGGGAAUUCAGUGACAGGUGGUGCAUGGCUGUCGUCAGCUCGUGUCGUGAGAUGUUGGGUUAAGUCCCGCAACGAGCGCAACCCACGUUUUUAGUUGCCAGCAUUUAGUUGGGCACUCUAGAAAGACCGCCGGUGAUAAACCGGAGGAAGGUGUGGAUGACGUCAAGUCAUCAUGCCCCUUACACCCUGGGCUACACACGUACUACAAUGCUACGGACAAAGGGCAGCAAACUCGCGAGAGCUAGCAAAUCCCAUAAACCGUGGCUCAGUUCAGAUCGUAGGCUGCAACUCGCCUACGUGAAGUAGGAAUCGCUAGUAAUCGCAGGUCAGCAUACUGCGGUGUAAUACGUUCCCGGGCCUUGUACACACCGCCCGUCACACCAUGGUAUAGUUGGCCAUGCCCGUAUAGUC